RNAcentral lists this small nucleolar RNA (119 nucleotides) under Helianthus annuus (common sunflower). RNAcentral describes it as "sRNA HanXRQr2_Chr15g0720391". It matches the Rfam family "Plant small nucleolar RNA R71". Rfam says of the family: R71 is a member of the C/D box family of snoRNAs containing the C (UGAUGA) and D (CUGA) box motifs. Multiple nearly identical copies of this snoRNA have been identified in Arabidopsis, and it is thought to function as a 2'-O-ribose methylation guide for 18S ribosomal RNA. The record is from Rfam by way of RNAcentral. Lineage: Eukaryota; Viridiplantae; Streptophyta; Magnoliopsida; Asterales; Asteraceae.
AGACCAUGAUGAGGACAUUUUCUUAAUAGCUCCUUGAAUCUUUUCCAAGUUUCAUAUAAGGGCGUUAGGAGUGGUUAAACACUUGAGAGUGGCAAACUAAAAAAUCAACCAAUGAGAGU